This 457-nucleotide ribosomal RNA is filed under the name uncultured Rhodocyclaceae bacterium. RNAcentral describes it as "bacterial SSU rRNA". It matches the Rfam family "Bacterial small subunit ribosomal RNA", at positions 923 to 1382 of the family's 1533-position model. Lineage: Bacteria; Pseudomonadati; Pseudomonadota; Betaproteobacteria; Rhodocyclales; Rhodocyclaceae. The record is from RNAcentral.
GCACAAGCGGUGGAUGAUGUGGAUUAAUUCGAUGCAACGCGAAAACCUUACCUACCUUGACAUGUCCGGAAUCCGAAGAAAUUUGGGAGUGCUCGCAAGAGAACCGGAACACAGGUGCUGCAUGGCUGUCGUCAGCUCGUGUCGUGAGAUGUUGGGUUAAGUCCCGCAACGAGCGCAACCCUUGUCAUUAGUUGCCAUCAUUUGGUUGGGCACUCUAAUGAGACUGCCGGUGACAAACCGGAGGAAGGUGGGGAUGACGUCAAGUCCUCAUGGCCCUUAUGGGUAGGGCUUCACACGUCAUACAAUGGUCGGUACAGAGGGUUGCCAAGCCGCGAGGCGGAGCCAAUCCCACAAAGCCGAUCGUAGUCCGGAUUGUUCUCUGCAACUCGAGAGCAUGAAGUCGGAAUCGCUAGUAAUCGCAGGUCAGCAUACUGCGGUGAAUACGUUCCCGGGUCUU